CAACAACAAUUCCUCACAUCCAGAAACGCACAUUCCAAUCGUUCCAUUGAUACCAGCAGCCAGGAAUCCACCACCUAUAAUACACCUAUAUAAUAUCAACUGGACAACCAAUCAGGCGCUCCCAGUGUAUACAGGAACGCAAACAGCGCGAAAUUUAAAGCACGCUUAGGAGUGCUUUAUCACGAGUGUUUUGUACUAGUUAAAACAUGAGCAGCCG
Non-coding RNA from Paramuricea clavata, 217 nucleotides. Lineage: Eukaryota; Metazoa; Cnidaria; Anthozoa; Malacalcyonacea; Plexauridae. The record is from the annotation of a GenBank genome assembly.